This 253-nucleotide ribosomal RNA is filed under the name uncultured bacterium. Its description in RNAcentral is "partial 16S ribosomal RNA". It matches the Rfam family "Bacterial small subunit ribosomal RNA", at positions 524 to 776 of the family's 1533-position model. The record is from RNAcentral.
GACAGAGGGUGCAAACGUUGCUCGGAAUUACUGGGCGUAAAGCGCGUGUAGGCGGACCACCAAGUCGGACGUGAAAGCCCUGGGCUCAACCCGGGAACUGCAUCCGAAACUGGCGGUCUGGAGUAGUGGAGAGGAAAGCAGAAUUCCUGGUGUAGAGGUGAAAUUCGUAGAUAUCAGGAGGAACACCGGUGGCGAAGGCGGAUCUCUGGGCCGAUACUGACGCUGAGGAGCGAAAGCGUGGGGAGCAAACAGG